Molecule: RNase P RNA, 378 nt
Filed under: Porticoccaceae bacterium
Lineage: Bacteria; Pseudomonadati; Pseudomonadota; Gammaproteobacteria; Cellvibrionales; Porticoccaceae
Description: RNase P RNA component class A
Rfam family: Bacterial RNase P class A
About the family: Ribonuclease P (RNase P) is a ubiquitous endoribonuclease, found in archaea, bacteria and eukarya as well as chloroplasts and mitochondria. Its best characterised activity is the generation of mature 5'-ends of tRNAs by cleaving the 5'-leader elements of precursor-tRNAs. Cellular RNase Ps are ribonucleoproteins.
Source: RNAcentral
AGAGUUGACUAGGCAGUCGCUGCGAAGUUUUUGAGUUCAAUCGGGAGCGCAUUGGAAAUUUCGCAGAGGAAAGUCCGGGCUCCACAGGGCAGAGUGCCAGGUAAUGCCUGGGGGGCGUGAGUCCACGGAAAGUGCCGCAGAGAGAAGACCGCCAAUGAUCUAUUUCUGAUCAGGUAAGGGUGAAAGGGUGCGGUAAGAGCGCACCGCACUGUUGGUAACAACAGUGGCAGGGUAAACCCCACUUGGAGCAAGACCAAAUAGGUCUCCUUUGACGUUGCCCGCGUUGGAGACGGGUAGGUCGCUAGAGGUAUGCGGUGACGUUUGCCCCAGAUGAAUGACUGUCCACGACAGAACCCGGCUUAUCGGUUGACUCUUUUU